AGCUGUUCUGCACCAUUUGUGAUGCAUGUCUAGUGUUCUUUAUCAGUUCUGAUGUUCUUUUUGAUCCUAUCUUGUGUAUUUUUUUGCAUUACUUGAGCUUUAACCCCUUAAGGACACAACUUCUAGAAUAAAAGGGAAUCCUUAAGGGGUUAAUCAACCUUUUAUAGCAAACUUUUUAAAAACACCCAAAACAAAUUUUUUUUCUACUGUUCUCUUAACCAACUUUUUUUUGUGGUGUAAAAAGUAUAUGUAAAGGCAUACAUAUAAAAAAAUAAUAAUAAUAAAGGCAUGCAAAAUAUUUACACAAUGUAGAAGAUUUGUUGAAGUUCUCUGAUCAGAGAAGAGGGACAAAGGUUUAAAUAUAUAAUGUCAUUACAAAC
Molecule: non-coding RNA, 380 nt
Organism: Pelobates cultripes (western spadefoot toad)
Lineage: Eukaryota; Metazoa; Chordata; Amphibia; Anura; Pelobatidae
Source: the annotation of a GenBank genome assembly